This 535-nucleotide ribosomal RNA is filed under the name uncultured bacterium. RNAcentral's name for it is "bacterial SSU rRNA". It matches the Rfam family "Bacterial small subunit ribosomal RNA", at positions 777 to 1304 of the family's 1533-position model. The record is from RNAcentral.
AAUAGAUACCCAGGUAGUCCACGCCGUAAACGAUGAGUGCUAAGUGUUAGAGGGCUUCCACCCUUUAGUGCUGCAGCUAACGCAUUAAGCACUCCGCCUGGGGAGUACGGCCGCAAGGCUGAAACUCAAAGGGAAUUGACGGGGGCCCGCACAAGCGGUGGAGCAUGUGGUUUAAUUCGAAGCAACGCGAAGAACCUUACCAGGUCUUGACAUCCUUCGCUACCUCUAGAGAUAGAGGGUUCCCCUUCGGGGGACGGAGUGACAGGUGGUGCAUGGUUGUCGUCAGCUCGUGUCGUGAGAUGUUGGGUUAAGUCCCGCAACGAGCGCAACCCUUGACCUUAGUUGCCAGCAUUCAGUUGGGCACUCUAAGGUGACUGCCGGUGACAAACCGGAGGAAGGUGGGGGAUGACGUCAAAUCAUCAUGCCCCUUAUGACCUGGGCUACACACGUGCUACAAUGGAGUGGUACAAAGGGUCGCGAAACCGCGAGGUGGAGCCAAAUACCCAAAAAACCAAUUCUCAGUUCGGAUUGCAGG